This is a long non-coding RNA of Ictalurus punctatus (channel catfish), 1188 nucleotides long. The record is from Ensembl. NCBI's taxonomy places the organism in Eukaryota, Metazoa, Chordata, Actinopteri, Siluriformes, Ictaluridae.
CUUAGAGCUGUACUGAGAGGGAAAGAAGAGACACGCCAAACAGGAAGUGAAAUAAGGGAAAAGAAGACUUUGGUAGGAUGUAAAGGAAUUAUAUGCCAGGAGUGCUAACCGGAAUCCUCUUUUUUUUUCUAGAAGAAAUGAUAUAAAGAGCAAACAGAAUAACUGAAACAGGAGAGAAAUUUUUGCCUGGAACUGCCGUCAUUCUCCUGCUCCUCUGUACCUCCCUCGGACGUUGAACCCUGUUGAACCCCUAAUGCUUGGAUACAUCUAUCAUAUCCAUGUGCUCCUGAAAGUUUCUGAAUCAACAGACGAAAAGAAAUGCGAAAGAACCAGGAAGAAGCAUGAACUCUUUUUUGAAUCUUCAAACUUGGACCAUUCGUAAGGUAUGAAGUCUCUAAGGGGUUUGUACCUGUAGCGUGCUGAGGGAUGUAUGCAGUUUUGCUUGACAAAGUGAGAUUCACUUCAAGUUACUUAUAAUGAAAGAUUCAUGCAGACAGGCAUACUGGAAGACAACCCCAUGCUGUCCGAUGCCUCGUAACACCGGCAAGCACAUAAAGAAGACAAGAUUUUAGCAUCUCUGCAAGACCAAACUGACGACUCCACAAGGUUUGGCUAAAUCCUGAGAACAAUCUCUUUCCCUAAUCUUAUGACAGACUACAAGUUUUAGGAACCUCUCAGAAGCCUGCUGUGUGGGAAAGCCUUUCCACUGCGCACUCAGAAAGAAAGAGAAGACCUCAGAGGCAUAGUGAACAACAAUAAUAAUAAUAAGAAGAAGAAAACGAAGAAGAAGAAGAAUUAAAGAACCAGGAGAAAGGGACAGACAGCCAGAGCUGGCUGUGGCAAGAACAAGGGAGCAGGGGGAAAGGGUGAAGAAGAGAUGGGACUUCAUGGGCUUUUGUGAAAGCUUGAAAGAAUGGAAGCAGCUCCAAAAUAAAAAGCAGAACAGGGAGUCCCUGCAAUCCCCCUGGUACAAUGCGUGGAAACGUGAUUUCUCUUGUUGGGCUGAUAUGAUGAGACCUCAUGACAUAAACCGCAAAAGGUCACAAAGAAUAUCUCACACUUCUUCGUGUGCUACAUCACUUAGACAACCUAAAUCAGGAUUCUGUACAACCAUCGCAGCCAUGGGAUUCAAGUGAUCAAAGCAGAUGAAGCUGAAGAAAAUCAGGUAACUAGCUUAGUUAUUGCUGG